AUACGAAAUUAUACAGUACAUAGCAUUAAUGAUUUAAUCUAUGAAAAAAAGCCGCAGUACUGGAGUAACUUGGAUACGCCUGGUGAUCAUGAUUGAAGCUACAGCAGUAGCAGCAGCGUGCGGACCCGUGGUGCGGAUAGGCCACAACAGCAACGACACACAGACCAGCACCACACGUAAGUCCGUACGAUGGAGAAGAUUUGCUAUCGGCACACUGGUUUAGUUUUUGGAAAGCCUUACGUGUGUCACGGCGUGCUGUACGACUUUGCAGCUAAUCGCAAUCCAUUGACGACACUCAGCCUGGUGUUGUGUAAACGGCUCAAAGAGUGGAUUUAUCUGAUCGACGCGCUUAAUGGUUCUGGUUGAUCAAAUCACCUUGGUACAGCGUCCACGGGAGACGUUUCUAUUGACAUUUGUCACCAGCAGUACGGCCGAGUUGCCUACCACUGCAAGGGCACACCGAUGGUUUGCUGACCCUGUCUUGCUGAUCGACAACUUUCUGACGACAUUGUGCUGAGUGAACUGAGUUCAGGAGUUUGAACUGGACAAGAGCGUUACUCGUCGUGAAGUAGACAAGAAAGAAAACGAAGAGAGCCUUCCUCUGGUGUCAGUAAUACAAGCCAGUCUAGGAGAGGAUAUUGGAAUGUAUUGCACCUACUACGGUGAUAAAGGCCGGUGUCACUGCAGUCCGGCGUCGAACCUGGUGUGGCGCUAUCAAGACCGCCUGCUCGAUAAAGACACUGCGGCGGUGCUGGGGCAUGUCUCCGUGAAAAAUCUUAGGAGCUGGAGCUAUUUCACUAUUCACAAUGUUACUAGUACGUCUUACGGAAAAGUCGAAUGUCUGCGCCUCUGUGGUAUCGACAGAUAUUGUUUGGUCCAGAGAUUUCUUAUUAGAGCACCAAGUUAGUUCCUACAUUCCUAGCGUACUGCCCAUAUUAUAUUUCGACAACAUAACUUUUUUAAAACUACCUUGUGCGAGAAUUAUUACAACAGCGAUUAAACCU
Paramacrobiotus metropolitanus is the source of this 1004-nucleotide RNA transcript. RefSeq lists it as uncharacterized. The record is from RefSeq and is a predicted model, not a curated record. The transcript is spliced from 2 exons. NCBI's taxonomy places the organism in Eukaryota, Metazoa, Tardigrada, Eutardigrada, Parachela, Macrobiotidae.